Molecule: ribosomal RNA, 422 nt
Filed under: uncultured bacterium
Lineage: Bacteria
Description: partial 16S ribosomal RNA
Rfam family: Bacterial small subunit ribosomal RNA
Source: RNAcentral
AAUUUUGGACAAUGGGGGAAACCUUGAUCCAGCCAUCCCGCGUGUGCGAUGAAGGCCUUCGGGUUGUAAAGCACUUUUGUCAGGGAGGCAAUCGUACAGGCUAAUAUCUUGUGCGGAUGACGGUACCUGAAGAAGAACCACCGGCUAACUCAGUGCCAGCCGCCGCGGUAAUACGUAGGGUGCAAGCGUUAAUCGGAAUUACUGGGCGUAAAGGGUGCGCAGGCGGUUUAUCAAGAAAGGUGUGAAAUCCCCGGGCUUAACCUGGGAAUGGCACUUUUAACUGAUAGGCUAGAGUAUGUCAGAGGGGGGUAGAAUUCCACGUGUAGCAGUGAAAUGCGUAGAGAUGUGGAGGAAUACCGAUGGCGAAGGCAGCCCCCUGGGAUAAUACUGACGCUCAUGCACGAAAGCGUGGGGAGCAAACA